AUACACUCUGGAGAAGUUGGAUACCAGAUGAUGCUUAUCUAUAUUUCCCAGAUUCUGCGAAAAACAGUACGUUCUACAGUGAUAGGCCUAAGUACCAAGAACAGGGAGCUACUCCUUAUUCUGCCCCAGAUUAUGUCUACAAGACUGCCAAAGAAAUGAAUAUAGAUCAAAGCAGGGUAUUAAAUAAUUUCAAUGUGACAUGGAAUUUCAAUGUGAACAAGAAUUCUACCUACUUUGUCAGGGCCCAUUUUUGUGAUAUAAUUAGUCCGUCCCUUGGUCUUCUUACGUUCAAUUUCUAUAUCUAUAGCCAGUUCAGUGAUAAGAUCAAUCCAUACGACAUAAUGGGCCAGUUGGCAGCUCCCUUUUACGUCGAUUAUGUUGUUGAUUCUGACGAUUCUGGAUAUAUGAAUAUCAGUAUUGGUCCUAGCCAGGGAUCAUCGAACGGAACUGCCUUUCUGAAUGGGCUGGAGAUUAUGGAGUUGACCAAAGGAUCCAGUUUAGUCCCUG
This 507-nucleotide long non-coding RNA is filed under the name Vitis vinifera (wine grape). RNAcentral's name for it is "long non-coding RNA (VVIN_LNC002259)". Lineage: Eukaryota; Viridiplantae; Streptophyta; Magnoliopsida; Vitales; Vitaceae. The record is from RNAcentral.